UACGGAGGGUGCAAGCGUUAUCCGGAUUCACUGGGUUUAAAGGGUGCGUAGGUGGGCAUGUAAGUCAGUGGUGAAAUCUCCGGGCUUAACUCGGAACGGUCAGAUGAUACUGCUUUGCUAGAGUGCGGAAGGGGCAAUCGGAAUUCUUGGUGUAGCGGUGAAAUGCGUAGAUAUCGAAGAGGAACACCUGAGGUGAAGACGGGUUGCUGGGCCGACACUGACGCUGAUGACGCGAAAGCCAGGGGAGCAAACGGG
This 255-nucleotide ribosomal RNA is filed under the name uncultured bacterium. RNAcentral's name for it is "partial 16S ribosomal RNA". It matches the Rfam family "Bacterial small subunit ribosomal RNA", at positions 524 to 776 of the family's 1533-position model. The record is from RNAcentral.